AUGAUCGAAUACUUGCUGAAGCACGGUGCUAAAGUCGACUCUCUCGAUGGGGAAGGACAGACCCCCAGUUUUUUUGCAGUCAUAAUGAGGAACCGACGCACACUGGAAUGUCUGAUCGAAAAUGGAGCAAAUAUAUCUAAUUACCCAGAACUGCCGUUUGGAGCCAUUUUCGCGGGAGAUCCUUUAAUUCUAGAAAUUCUUCUACUGCAUGGUGCUCGUGUAGACACUUCUUUCGUAACAGCAAAGAAUACUCCUUUUCUACCCAGACUCAAAUCUGAUGAAAUUAUAUUGAGCAAGAGUUUGUCAGGAUCAGAGUAUGAAGACAUGAAAUGUCUAUUUUACAAGAUUUUGCCAACAUCAGGGAAUGUAGACAUGGAAUUACUUCCUCUUAGUUCUCUCUUCCUAUACAUCAGCAAGGGAAGCAAGCAUAAUCGGGAAAAUGACCCUAGGUUGAUGGAUCGAGGGCUUUACAAUACUCGUAGCUCAGUGACAGAACAUGUGGAUCUUCCACUCAUAUUUUACGCAGUGGCAAGAGAUAGCAGACAAUCCUUCAAUAUCUUGGUUGAUUAUGGAGCUCUUUUCGACUCGAAAGUAUGCCUUGACGCAAGAUCAUUGUCUUUCGCCGCCAAAAAUUUCUGGAUGUCCUCUGGAUCUGUAUUUCGUACUUUGUUGGAUUAUAGUUUCCCUCAAUUUGAUCGCAGCCAGUCGUGCGAACAUCAAUUAACUUGUAGAGCAUGCGGCCAUGCUGGUUAUGAGGAAAUCAUGCUCUGCGUAGAGUUCGCGAAAUACUUAUUGAAGAUAAGUUGUUGUGGAAUAUGCGAAGUCUCGGACGAGCGCAUAGCUGCCCUUUGGAAGGGAGUAACGUGGGAAUCCUUGCGCUGGGACGAGUAUCAGAGAUCGUGCAAGGAAGAAAUUCUAUUUCUUAAAGAGAAGCGAAUUGAUAACACGGAUUUGACGUUGUACGAAGUUCUAACCCGAGAUGAGAAUCAAAUUGCAAACUACUCGAGGAACCCUGGCUUCGCCUCGCUCUUAAAGGUAACAUUUCUCAACAGCUAA
This 1056-nucleotide long non-coding RNA is filed under the name Bemisia tabaci. RNAcentral's name for it is "lncRNA ENSSSA3NGG002995". Lineage: Eukaryota; Metazoa; Arthropoda; Insecta; Hemiptera; Aleyrodidae. The record is from RNAcentral.